CCAGAACUCGUCUAACACAAAGACCUCUAAUUUCGGCUUAGAAAAUCAUGGUUCACCACAUGGUUCUACA
This is a non-coding RNA of Alligator mississippiensis (American alligator), 70 nucleotides long. The record is from the annotation of a RefSeq genome assembly. NCBI's taxonomy places the organism in Eukaryota, Metazoa, Chordata, Crocodylia, Alligatoridae.